UGGCAGAGGUUACUGCUAUCGGUGUUCGCCUAAGCCAUGCGAGUCAUAUGUUCUUCGUGAACAUGGCGUACUGCUCAGUAACACGUGGAUAACCUGCCCUUGGGUCCGGCAUAACCCCGGGAAACUGGGGAUAAUUCCGGAUACCGCAUAUCUGCUGGAAUGCUUUAUGCGUAAAAUGGAUUCGUCUGCCCAAGGAUGGGUCUGCGGCCUAUCAGGUAGUAGUGGGUGUAACGUACCUACUAGCCAACGACGGGUACGGGUUGUGAGAGCAAGAGCCCGGAGAUGGAUUCUGAGACAUGAAUCCAGGCCCUACGGGGCGCAGCAGGCGCGAAAACUUUACAAUGCGGGAAACCGUGAUAAGGGGACACCGAGUGCCAGCAUCAUAUGCUGGCUGUCCGGGUGUGUAAAAUACACCUGUUAGCAAGGGCCGGGCAAGACCGGUGCCAGCCGCCGCGGUAACACCGGCGGCCCGAGUGGUGAUCGUGAUUAUUGGGUCUAAAGGGUCCGUAGCCGGUUUGGUCAGUCCUCCGGGAAAUCUGACGGCUUAACCGUUAGGCUUUCGGGGGAUACUGCCAGGCUUGGAACCGGGAGAGGUAAGAGGUACUACAGGGGUAGGAGUGAAAUCUUGUAAUCCCUGUGGGACCACCUGUGGCGAAGGCGUCUUACCAGAACGGGUUCGACGGUGAGGGACGAAAGCUGGGGGCACGAACCGGAUUAGAUACCCGGGUAGUCCCAGCCGUAAACGAUGCUCGCUAGGUGUCAGGCAUGGCGCGACCGUGUCUGGUGCCGCAGGGAAGCCGUGAAGCGAGCCACCUGGGAAGUACGGCCGCAAGGCUGAAACUUAA
RNAcentral lists this ribosomal RNA (845 nucleotides) under uncultured archaeon. RNAcentral's name for it is "bacterial SSU rRNA". It matches the Rfam family "Archaeal small subunit ribosomal RNA", at positions 15 to 859 of the family's 1478-position model. The record is from RNAcentral.